This 239-nucleotide ribosomal RNA is filed under the name uncultured bacterium. Its description in RNAcentral is "partial 16S ribosomal RNA". It matches the Rfam family "Bacterial small subunit ribosomal RNA", at positions 69 to 334 of the family's 1533-position model. The record is from RNAcentral.
CCCGUAGCAAUACGGGAGCGGCAGACGGGAGAGUAACACGUGGGAACGUACCCUUCAGUUCGGAACAACCAAGGGAAACUUUGGCUAAUACCGGAUACGUCCGUAAGGAGAAAGAUUUAUCGCUGAAGGAUCGGCCCGCGUCUGAUUAGCUAGUUGGUGAGGUAACGGCCCACCAAGGCGACGAUCAGUAGCUGGUCUGAGAGGAUGAUCAGCCUCAUUGGGACUGAGACACGGCCCAA